This 488-nucleotide ribosomal RNA is filed under the name uncultured bacterium. Its description in RNAcentral is "partial 16S ribosomal RNA". It matches the Rfam family "Bacterial small subunit ribosomal RNA", at positions 30 to 507 of the family's 1533-position model. The record is from RNAcentral.
AUUGAACGCUGGCGGCAUGCUUUACACAUGCAAGUCGAACGGCAGCACAGGGAGCUUGCUCCUGGGUGGCGAGUGGCGAACGGGUGAGUAAUGUAUCGGAACGUGCCUGGUAGUGGGGGAUAACUACUCGAAAGAGUGGCUAAUACCGCAUGAGAUCUUUGGAUGAAAGCGGGGGACCUUCGGGCCUCGUGCUACUGGAGCGGCCGAUAUCAGAUUAGGUUGUUGGUGGGGUAAAGGCCUACCAAGCCUGCGAUCUGUAGCUGGUCUGAGAGGACGACCAGCCACACUGGGACUGAGACACGGCCCAGACUCCUACGGGAGGCAGCAGUGGGGAAUUUUGGACAAUGGGCGCAAGCCUGAUUCAGCAAUGCCGCGUGCAGGACGAAGGCCUUCGGGUUGUAAACUGCUUUUGUACAGAACGAAAAGUCUCUGGCUAAUAUCUAGAGAUCAUGACGGUACUGUAAGAAUAAGCACCGGCUAACUACGUG